This 1251-nucleotide long non-coding RNA is filed under the name Nothobranchius furzeri (turquoise killifish). Its description in RNAcentral is "lncRNA (ENSNFUG00015000116.1)". The record is from RNAcentral. Lineage: Eukaryota; Metazoa; Chordata; Actinopteri; Cyprinodontiformes; Nothobranchiidae.
AUGAACAGCCAAGGUCAUGCACUCACUUCUCAUGUUUACAUUCCAGCAAAGUGUCACACGCGUGCCGGUGAGUGGAGCAGAGGUAGGAUCCAAAUGUGGGGAGGGAAAAGGCAAACAGGUAGGUACUUUUACCAUAAGUUUAAUAAUGACACAUGCUGGACAACUGAAACAAUGAACCGGCACAGGACACAGAACAGACGGGGUUUAAAUACAGGAGGGUCGGGAGCUUGGGUGAUUGGGAGACGAGAGGCAGGUGGGAGCAAUCAACGGAGACACAUGACUAAACAGAACGGGGAGACAAGACAGGGUGCGACAGCCCCCCCCCCCAAAGGGCGGAUCCCAGACGUCCACAGGAACAAGAAGCAGGGCGGGAGGAGGGGGACCCGGAGGGAGGGCCCAGAGGAACCGAGGGACCGAUGGAGAGGAGGCAGGGACCAGCAGAGUCCGGGGGUCUGCGCCCGGGACAGAGGAGGAGGCGACGGGCUCUUGGAGGCUGGCGUCUGCGGCAGAGGAGGAGGCGACGGGCUCUCGGAGGCCAGCGUCUGCGGCAGAGGAGGAGGCGACGAGCUCUCGGAGGCGGCGCAUGCGGCAGAGGAGGAGGCAACGGGCUCUCGGAGGCUGGCGACUGCAGCAGAGGAGGAGGCGACGGGCUCUUGGGGGCCCGUGCCUGGCGAGGGCAGGGCCGGCGGUGGCCGAAAGCAGGAACACCGGAGGAGACUCCCCGACUGGACGCGGCUUCGUUGGGCUAGAGGGCCCGUCGACUUCUGGAGUGGGAAAGGCGACUUCAGAAGAGGCGUCGACUUCAGACGAGACGACUUCAGAAGAGGCGACGACUUCAGAGGCAACUUCGGACGAGACGACUUCAGACAAGACGACAACUUCGGACGAGACGACUUCAGACGAGACGACAACUUCGGACGAGAAGACUUCAGACGAGACGACUUCAGAGGCGACUUCGGACGAGACGACUUCAGAGGCGACUUCGGACGAGACGACUUCAGAGGCGACUUUGGACGAGAUGACUUCAGAGGCGACUUUGGACGAGAUGACUUCAGAGGCGACUUUGGACGAGACGACUUCAGAGGCGACUUCGGACGAGACGACUUCAGAGGCAACUUCGGACGAGACGACUUCAGAGGCGACUUCGGACGACGACUUCAGAGGCAACUUCGGACGACGACUUCAGAGGCAACUUCAGACGAGAUGACUUCAGAGGCAACUUCAGACGAGACGACUUCAGAGGAGGCGUAG